Molecule: ribosomal RNA, 468 nt
Filed under: uncultured bacterium
Lineage: Bacteria
Description: partial 16S ribosomal RNA
Rfam family: Bacterial small subunit ribosomal RNA
Source: RNAcentral
GACGAACGCUGGCGGCGGGCUUAACACAUGCAAGUCGAACGGAAAGGCCCUGCUUUUGUGGGGUGCUCGAGUGGCGAACGGGUGAGUAACACGUGAGUAACCUGCCCUGGACUUUGGGAUAACUUCAGGAAACUUGGGCUAAUACCGGAUAGGAGCUCCUGCGGCAGGGUGGGGGUUGGAAAGUUUCGGCGGUUGGGGAUGGACUCGCGGCUUAUCAGCUUGUUGGUGGGGUAGUGGCUUACCAAGGCUUUGACGGGUAGCCGGCCUGAGAGGGUGACCGGCCACAUUGGGACUGAGAUACGGCCCAGACUCCUACGGGAGGCAGCAGUGGGGUAUAUUGCACAAUGGGAGGAAGCCUGAUGCAGCAACGCCGCGCGCGGGAUGACGGCCUUCGGGUUGUAAACCGCUUUCGCCUGUGACGAAGCGUGAGUGACGGUAAUGGGUAAAGAAGCACCGGCUAACUACGUG